CUCUCUCUCUUUCUCUCUCUCUCACUGCUGUAUUAAUAAAUUGAGUUUUUUAAGUUCGCCGCAGCGCGCCAACUGGUGUGAAGGCACCUGACAUCAUUGAUCUUCGAAGCAAUAAAGGAAAGAGCCAGGGAAGCCUCUUUACCAAGUACUCGAAGAGAAGGAAGAAAGGAUUGCACCAGGAACCUUACUCGGAACAACGCACAUGUAUGUGCUUGGGGCAAUGGAUAAAACUGGUGCUAAAAGGGUUGAGCUACUAUUAGGACAAAGUAGAUGUCACUCCUAGGUUGGAAGAAUUAAAAGCUUUGGAUGAUGUUACUUUGGCAGCAAAGUAAGGUAUUUUUUUUAAUAAUAGGAGCCCAGAUUCUUGAUGUAUUGUUUGAUUCAUGGGUACAAAGUUUUAUGCGUUUUAUGGGAGUGAGUUAUUCAUUAUUGGGUGACAUGGUUCAUGUAUGAGGAAGCAAGGGAAGAAGAGAAGCUAUGAAAUCGACACAAAGGACUUCAGUGAGAUGGUGGCAGAUGUUUGUUCUGAGUGCAUUCUAGAGUGGGCUGGAAUUUUUGUUCGUGUUGUUCUAUGGGUUUUCGCUUUUUUUUUCUUUUUUCAAUUUUUUGAACUAUGUGCAGGCUAAGAAAAAGAGGAAGUGCAGGAUGUAGGAAAAAGGAAGGGAAGGCAAAUAAGGAUUUCAAGUUUAGGCACAAAGCUAUGCAUCAAAUUCGCAUAGCAUGAAUGCUCCCCCUCCCCCUUUGGAUAUAUUCUGUUUGGUAAAUAUAUUGUGAACUAUGAAAUUCGAAGGAUCUGACACAUUAGAAGUUCUUAUUGACAUGUAAAAUGUGAAGUUCAUUGGUCGAUCGUGGGCCAUCUUGGUUCGAUUAAUGAAUGGACAGGGCAGCUAGUUGCAUUAUUGAGGUAGGAGUGAUGUUUAAAGGGAAUUUGAUUACUUAAUCCAUUCUGAGAUCGUCAAUGAAUCUUAACUGUGCCUGAACUUGGUGGAAAGUUGGAAGUGGUUUUAUUUUCUGAAGGGAAGCCGUGACCUAUAAAGCAUGAAUUUCUCAAGGUUACAUGGUAAAAGCCAAGUUAGAAAAGUGCUUCCAUGGGCUUCUUCUGAUUUUUUGGGUUUUCAAAUUGAGGGGCAGAAUUGGAGAAGGGAGCGAUGCCAUGCCUUCGUUGACUGCGAAUCUUCAUUUCUUUCGGACAGUGUGCCCGAGUCUCUUGCAACCCUAGUCUUAGCCCAUUCCAUUAUCACCCAAGACCCCCGUUGCCAUCCUUCACUCGUUGCCCCAAUUCACGGCUCUGGUUUUGCUCAGGUACUCAUAUGUUGGUAAAUGUCUAGCAAAAUGCAGCGCAGACAGCUUCCCCAAGCUUCAAAUUCUACUCCGAAGAUGGAGGAUUGGGAUCAGUUUUCGUCUCCUUGCUUUCCCUGUGAACGAAGAUGAACUGCAGUUGCAGUUAAUAUUUAAUGUUUGGACUGAAUUGAUAGUUUGCAUGCUUCAAUAUUAUAAUGCACUAACCAUGGUAUUGUUGAACCAAAUCAUGUGAAUUAUGAACCUUUGUUGCCAUUGGAUGUGCAAGAUUAUGUGUGUGCUCAUGAGUGUUCCAUGCUGAUAGACAUCAAUAUUGUGUUAGAAGGCUUAUCAUCUUGAACUAGGGGGUUUAAAGUAAAAAUAGUCAGUCCUUUGGAAGAAGAUGAAACAUAAAACUAGGUGAUGAAUGAAACUUUUCUCAAUAAUGCAUAUUUACCUUAGGAAAUAUUCCUUUCUAUAAGUCUUUUGUGGCAUGCAAUGAGAAACAGAGCAUCAACAUAUGAACUUAUGCAAAUAUAGGGCUCACUAGUUCUAUGUGGAUAUGUUAUUUACUGAGAUGGGAGAUGAAGCCUUUAUUUUUUCUUGUUGCUUAUCCAAAUCAGACAUCAUAAGGGUGAUAUCUAUCAAUUUUAGAGUAGUAUUUGUUUAAGUCUCUAGGAAUGACAGCAUAUUUGUGAAUUUUCAGUUGUACUUUUUAAAAUUCACAAGCCUCUGCCAUUUAUUGGUCUUUCUUUUAAUAGAGAUACUAGACUAUAAUGAAUGUUUCUCCAUGGAGAAAAAAGGACUACGAUCUAUGGCUUCAUAGAGCUAUGAGCUAUCCUUGGAUGCGUCUGCUUCCGAAUUAGCCAACUCAUCUGCCACUAUUUUGACCUUCUGAAAAAUGUAUUUAACAAGUAAUUGAGAACUGGUCUUACUAGUUCUGCUAGUUCUUUAGAAACAACUGAUGGCUUUCCAAAUUUUCUAGAUCACUAUGGUAGUAUCGAACUUUAUAAAACUGGUGGCUCAUCUGUAGUUAACCCCAUCUUACCACUGUUUUUGUUGGGUUUUGUUUGUGUGUGUGUGUGUGCGUGUGUAGAGAGAGAGAGA
Amborella trichopoda is the source of this 2385-nucleotide non-coding RNA. NCBI's taxonomy places the organism in Eukaryota, Viridiplantae, Streptophyta, Magnoliopsida, Amborellales, Amborellaceae. The record is from RefSeq and is a predicted model, not a curated record.